Molecule: long non-coding RNA, 598 nt
Organism: Vanessa atalanta (red admiral)
Lineage: Eukaryota; Metazoa; Arthropoda; Insecta; Lepidoptera; Nymphalidae
Exons: 2
Source: RefSeq, a predicted model, not a curated record
CCUCCGCCACCAUGCGCUCCUCCGUCUUGCGCAGCUUGAAGCGCGCCUCCAUCUGCCGAAAUGUCCGCGAAAUCAUGUACCAUCGCAAUUUAUAACUGUGUUCAAAUAUAUAAACUUAUUAUUUAAGGAAAAAAAAAACUUUUGGACGUUAACUUUCAGGAGUUGAGUAACUUUUGAACAUUAUUGUGUUUCAAUUGUCCUAUUAUCCAUAUAACUGCCGCUAAUUAGAUUCAGGAGCUUACAGUAUAUAACGACUAAAAGCUGUAUUAAACUAGACUCGACCAAUAUGAUAUCCGGCUGUUCGAUCUUAAUGUUGACAGUCAUCAUGGAAAGCUUCUGCGGCUGCUCUGUUAAAGACGGUGCUGAUACGACGGACACUUUUUUCUUCUGAAGAUUUAAUAAAUAUUGAAGUUAUACUUCUUUUGGAGCAUUGUGGUAAUGGUAGUGAUUUUUAAUUUUUAUGAUGAACGCACAGUAUGACUAAAAGCUACAUCAUGCAGUUAUUUGAGACAGUGAAGUAACAAGUCGUUCGAAAUACACAUUUACAUUGUAUCUUAUUUUAAAAUGUUUAUUUUAUUACAAAUUAAGAAUAUUUAAA